UAGACCGAUAGCGAACAAGUAGAGUGAUCGAAAGAUGAAAAGCACUUUGAAAAGAGGGUUAAAUAGCACGUGAAAUUGUUGAAAGGGAAGCGCUUGUGACCAGACUUGCGCCUGGCUGAUCAUCCGGUGUUCUCACCGGUGCACUCUGCCAGGCUCAGGCCAGCAUCGGUUCUCGCGGGGGGAUAAAGGCCCUGGGAACGUAGCUCCUCCGGGAGUGUUAUAGCCCAGGGUGCAAUGCCCUCGCGGGGACCGAGGUUCGCGCAUCUGCAAGGAUGACUGGCGUAAUGGUCAUCAGCGACCCGUCUUGAAACACGGACCAAGA
RNAcentral lists this ribosomal RNA (322 nucleotides) under Chaetomiaceae sp. RNAcentral describes it as "partial large subunit ribosomal RNA". It matches the Rfam family "Eukaryotic large subunit ribosomal RNA", at positions 330 to 671 of the family's 3401-position model. Lineage: Eukaryota; Fungi; Ascomycota; Sordariomycetes; Sordariales; Chaetomiaceae. The record is from RNAcentral.